AAUAUUUGACAAUGGGGGCAACCCUGAUCCAGCCAUGCCGCGUGUGUGAAAACGGUCUUCGGUUUGUAAAGCACUUUAAGUUGGGCGGAAGGGUUUUAGGCUAUUCCCUGAAGUUCUGACUUUAUCAACAGAAUAAGACCCGGCUAACUCUGUCCCAGCAGCCGCGGUAAUUCAGAGGGUGCAAGCGUUAAGCGGAAUUACUGGGCGUAAAGCGCGCGUAGGUGGUUCAGUAAGAUGGGUGUGAAAGCCACGGGCUUAACCGAGGAACUGCUUUCAUAACUGCUGAACUAGAGUACGGUAGAGGGUAGUGGAAUUUCAUGUGUAGCGGGGAAAUGCGUAGAUAUAGGAAGGAACACCAGUGGCGAAGGCGACUACCUGGACUGAUACUGACACUGAGGUGCGAAAGCGUGGGGAGCAAAC
This 420-nucleotide ribosomal RNA is filed under the name uncultured bacterium. RNAcentral's name for it is "partial 16S ribosomal RNA". It matches the Rfam family "Bacterial small subunit ribosomal RNA", at positions 360 to 773 of the family's 1533-position model. The record is from RNAcentral.